This 472-nucleotide ribosomal RNA is filed under the name uncultured bacterium. RNAcentral describes it as "bacterial SSU rRNA". It matches the Rfam family "Bacterial small subunit ribosomal RNA", at positions 341 to 793 of the family's 1533-position model. The record is from RNAcentral.
ACGGGGAGGCAGCAGUCGGGGGAAUAUUGCACAAUGGGCGCAAGCCUGAUGCAGCCAUGCCGCGUGUGUGAAGAAGGACCUUCGGGUUCGUAAAGCAACGUUUCAGUCGUGAGGAAGGUAGUGUAGUUAAUAGCUGCAUUAUUUGACGUUAGCGACAGAAGAAGCACCGGCUAACUCCGUGCCAGCAGCCGCGGUAAUACGGAGGGUGCGAGCGUUAAUCGGAAUUACUGGGCGUUAAAGCGCAUGCAGGUGGUUUGUUAAGUCAGAUGUGAAAGACCCCGGGGCUCAAACCUCGGAAUAGCAUUUGAAACUGGCAGACUAGAGUACUGUAGAGGGGGGUAGGAAUUUCAGGUGUAGCGGUGAAAUGCGUAGAGAUCUGAAGGAAUACCGGUGGCGAAGGCGGCCCCCUGGACAGAUACUGACACUCAGAUGCGAAAGCGUGGGGAGCAAACAGGAUUAGAUACCCUGGUAG